UACGAAGGGAGCUAGCGUUGUUCGGAAUCACUGGGCGUAAAGCGCACGUAGGCGGAUGAGUCAGUCAGGGGUGAAAUCCCGGAGCUCAACUUCGGAACUGCCUUUGAUACAGCACGUCUUGAGUCCGGAAGAGGUGGGUGGAAUUCCUAGUGUAGAGGUGAAAUUCGUAGAUAUUAGGAAGAACACCGGUGGCGAAGGCGGCCCACUGGUCCGGUACUGACGCUGAGGUGCGAAAGCGUGGGGAGCAAACAGG
Molecule: ribosomal RNA, 253 nt
Filed under: uncultured bacterium
Lineage: Bacteria
Description: partial 16S ribosomal RNA
Rfam family: Bacterial small subunit ribosomal RNA
Source: RNAcentral